UCCCUGGUAGCUCAGCUGGUAAAGAAUCUGCCUGCAAAGCAGGAGACCCUGGUUCAAUUCCUGAGUUGGGAA
Molecule: transfer RNA, 72 nt
Filed under: Ovis aries (sheep)
Lineage: Eukaryota; Metazoa; Chordata; Mammalia; Artiodactyla; Bovidae
Rfam family: tRNA
About the family: Transfer RNA (tRNA) molecules are approximately 80 nucleotides in length. Their secondary structure includes four short double-helical elements and three loops (D, anti-codon, and T loops).
Source: Rfam by way of RNAcentral